This 497-nucleotide ribosomal RNA is filed under the name uncultured bacterium. Its description in RNAcentral is "partial 16S ribosomal RNA". It matches the Rfam family "Bacterial small subunit ribosomal RNA", at positions 28 to 507 of the family's 1533-position model. The record is from RNAcentral.
GAUGAACGCUGGCGGCGUGCCUAAUACAUGCAAGUCGAGCGAACAGAUGAGGAGCUUGCUCCUCUGACGUUAGCGGCGGGCGGGUGAGUAACACGUGGAUAACCUACCUAUAAGACUGGGAUAACUUCGGGAAACCGGAGCUAAUACCGGAUAAUAUAUUGAACCGCAUGGUUCAAUAGUGAAAGACGGUUUUGCUGUCACUUAUAGAUGGAUCCGCGCCGCAUUAGCUAGUCGGUAAGGUAACGGCUUACCAAGGCAACGAUGCGUAGCCGACCUGAGAGGGUGAUCGGCCACACUGGAACUGAGACACGGUCCAGACUCCUACGGGAGGCAGCAGUAGGGAAUCUUCCGCAAUGGGCGAAAGCCUGACGGAGCAACGCCGCGUGAGUGAUGAAGGUCUUCGGAUCGUAAAACUCUGUUAUUAGGGAAGAACAAAUGUGUAAGUAACUAUGCACGUCUUGACGGUACCUAAUCAGAAAGCCACGGCUAACUACGUG